GAUGAACGCUGGCGGCGUGCCUAAUACAUGCAAGUCGAGCGAACGGACGAGAAGCUUGCUUCUCUGAUGUUAGCGGCGGACGGGUGAGUAACACGUGGAUAACCUACCUAUAAGACUGGGAUAACUUCGGGAAACCGGAGCUAAUACCGGAUGAUAUUUUGAACCGCAUGGUUCAAAAGUGAAAGACGGUCUUGCUGUCACUUAUAGAUGGAUCCGCGCUGCAUUAGCUAGUUGGUAAGGUAACGGCUUACCAAGGCAACGAUGCAUAGCCGACCUGAGAGGGUGAUCGGCCACACUGGAACUGAGACACGGUCCAGACUCCUACGGGAGGCAGCAGUAGGGAAUCUUCCGCAAUGGGCGAAAGCCUGACGGAGCAACGCCGCGUGAGUGAUGAAGGUCUUCGGAUCGUAAAACUCUGUUAUUGGGGAAGAACAUAUGUGUAAGUAACUGUGCACGUCUUGACGGUACCUAAUCAGAAAGCCACGGCUAACUUCGUG
Molecule: ribosomal RNA, 497 nt
Filed under: uncultured bacterium
Lineage: Bacteria
Description: partial 16S ribosomal RNA
Rfam family: Bacterial small subunit ribosomal RNA
Source: RNAcentral